GACGGCGGAUCGUGCGAGAAAUCCCGUGAACCCGGUCAGGCCCGGAAGGGAGCAGCCGCAGCUUCUCCUUUCUGUGUUGUGCCCGCCGCGUUU
This 93-nucleotide signal recognition particle RNA is filed under the name Bdellovibrionales bacterium. RNAcentral's name for it is "signal recognition particle sRNA small type". It matches the Rfam family "Bacterial small signal recognition particle RNA". From Rfam's summary of the family: The signal recognition particle (SRP) is a universally conserved ribonucleoprotein involved in the co-translational targeting of proteins to membranes. Lineage: Bacteria; Pseudomonadati; Bdellovibrionota; Bdellovibrionia; Bdellovibrionales. The record is from RNAcentral.